RNAcentral lists this ribosomal RNA (505 nucleotides) under uncultured bacterium. Its description in RNAcentral is "bacterial SSU rRNA". It matches the Rfam family "Bacterial small subunit ribosomal RNA", at positions 28 to 520 of the family's 1533-position model. The record is from RNAcentral.
GACGAACGCUGGCGGCGUGCCUAAUACAUGCAAGUCGAGCGGAUUCAUGCCUUCGGGAGUGGGUUAGCGGCGGACGGGUGAGUAACACGUAGGCAACCUGCCUUCAAGACCGGGAUAACAUGCGGAAACGGAUGCUAAGACCGGAUACACAGUAGGGUCGCAUGACCUUGCUGGGAAACACGGCGCAAGCUGUGGCUUGGAGAUGGGCCUGCGGCGCAUUAGCUAGUUGGUGGGGUAAAGGCUCACCAAGGCGACGAUGCGUAGCCGACCUGAGAGGGUGAACGGCCACACUGGGACUGAGACACGGCCCAGACUCCUACGGGAGGCAGCAGUAGGGAAUCUUCCACAAUGGGCGCAAGCCUGAUGGAGCAACGCCGCGUGAGUGAGGAAGGCUUUCGGGUCGUAAAGCUCUGUUGCCAGGGAAGAAUAAGAGCGAGAGUAACUGCUCGCUCGAUGACGGUACCUGAGAAGAAAGCCCCGGCUAACUACGUGCCAGCCGCCGCGG